Molecule: transfer RNA, 83 nt
Filed under: Bacilli bacterium
Lineage: Bacteria; Bacillati; Bacillota; Bacilli
Description: tRNA-Tyr
Rfam family: tRNA
About the family: Transfer RNA (tRNA) molecules are approximately 80 nucleotides in length.
Source: RNAcentral
UGGAUGAUGCCUGAGUGGUCAAAAGGAAUUGACUGUAAAUCAAUCGCUUAAUAGCUUCGGGGGUUCAAAUCCCUCUCCUCCAA